RNAcentral lists this ribosomal RNA (460 nucleotides) under uncultured bacterium. Its description in RNAcentral is "partial 16S ribosomal RNA". It matches the Rfam family "Bacterial small subunit ribosomal RNA", at positions 338 to 795 of the family's 1533-position model. The record is from RNAcentral.
CCUACGGGGAGCAGCAGUGAGGAAUAUUGGUCAAUGGACGAGAGUCUGAACCAGCCAAGUAGCGUGAAGGAUGACUGCCCUAUGGGUUGUAAACUUCUUUUAUAAAGGAAUAAAACGAGGCACGUGUGCCUUUUUGCAUGUACUUUAUGAAUAAGGAUCGGCUAACUCCGUGCCAGCAGCCGCGGUAAUACGGAGGAUCCGAGCGUUAUCCGGAUUUAUUGGGUUUAAAGGGAGCGUAGAUGGGUUGUUAAGUCAGUUGUGAAAGUUUGCGGCUCAACCGUAAAAUUGCAAUUGAUACUGGCAGUCGUGAGUACAGUUGAGGUAAGCGGAAUUCGUGGUGUAGCGGUGAAAUGCUUAGAUAUCACGAAGAACCCCGAUUGCGAAGGCAGCUUACUAAACUGUGACUGACAUUGAUGCUCGAAAGUGUGGGUAUCAAACAGGAUUAGAUACCCCAGUAGUC